GUUAGGGUUGGAGUUGAAAUGGCAUUGAUUGAUGCAGUUGCUAAUAGUAUUGGUGUGCCCCUGUGGAGAUUAUUUGGUGGUGUAUCAAAUACCUUAACCACUGCUAUCACACUUUCAAAUGUUUUCCCCGCAGAAGCUUCUGAAUUGGCUUCAAAGUGCUUCAAAGUACUGCCAACUAGGAUUCAAGACCUUGAAGCUUAAAAUAGGGAAGAACAUUAAAGCAGAAAUCGAAAUUCUCCAAUCCAUACAGGCAGCUCACCCCAAUUGUUCAUUGAUUUUAGAUGCAAAUGAGGAAUACACUUACAGAGAAGCUGUAGAAGUUCUUCAAAAGUUACAUGAUUCAGGGAUAACACCUACUCUCUUGGAACAACCGGUUCAUAGAGAUGACUGGAAAGGUCUUGGAGAAUUUUGUAACUUUGCAAGAGGGAAGUAUGGGAUAUCCGUUGCUGUAGAUGAGAGUUGUCAGAGCUUAAUUGAUGUUCAAACAGUUAUUAAGGGCAAUUUUGCAGAUGUCAUUAACAUCAAACUAGCAAAAUUUGGAGUCAUGGGAACCCUAGAAAUCAUUGAAUUGGCAAGAAAUUCGGGCCUAAAUCUGAUGAUUAGUAGUACAGUAGAGACCAGACUUGCCACAGGAUUUGCUGCUCAUCUGGCUGCCGGGCUUGGCUUUUUCAAAUUUGUUGGUCUAGAUAUGCCAUUUCUGCUUUCAGAGGAUCCUGUGAUUUGUGGUUAUGAAGCUUGUGGUCCUGUUUACAAGUUCUUAAAUGCAAGAGGUCAAGGAGGUUUCCUCAAAUGGGACUUUACACCAUGAUGAUUUCAAAGGUAUAGUUGAUUACCACUCAGCGGUUCAUAAAUAAUGAAGAUCACAAUAACUGCCUCAAUAACUUUAAGGAUGGGGCCUAGAGAGCAGAUAGUGAUUGAAAUGCGAAGCAUAGCAAGUUGCACUCCUGACAAUGUCUUCUUAUUAUGAUGUGCUACUGGUUUUACUUAGCAUUAUGAAAUUUCUGUGUAUGACCUUUCUUUCUCCUUUCUACUUUCUUCUUCUUUGAACUUAUGUGGUGUUUUAUGGUUCAUCUUGC
Molecule: unclassified non-coding RNA, 1076 nt
Filed under: Hevea brasiliensis (rubber tree)
Lineage: Eukaryota; Viridiplantae; Streptophyta; Magnoliopsida; Malpighiales; Euphorbiaceae
Source: RNAcentral